GUAGAGAUGGCUCAGUGGUUAAGAGCACUGACUGCUACUCCAGAGGUCCUGAGUUCAAAUCCCAGCAACUAUG
Molecule: transfer RNA, 73 nt
Filed under: Rattus norvegicus (Norway rat)
Lineage: Eukaryota; Metazoa; Chordata; Mammalia; Rodentia; Muridae
Rfam family: tRNA
About the family: Transfer RNA (tRNA) molecules are approximately 80 nucleotides in length. Their secondary structure includes four short double-helical elements and three loops (D, anti-codon, and T loops).
Source: Rfam by way of RNAcentral